GCUCCUACCGAUUGAAUGGUCUGGUGAAGUGUUCGAAUUGCAGCGACGUGGACGGUUUGCUGUCGGCGACGUUGUGAGAAGUCCACUGAACCUUAUCAUUUUGAGGAAGGAGAAGUCGUAACAAGGUUUCUUUAGGUGAACCUGGGGAAGGAUCAUUGUCAAAGCCUCACAAGCAGUGUGACCCCGUGAAUUUGUUUUACUCCUUAGGGGUAGCUACGACUUGGGGCAUGGAUAGACGCGAAUUGUGAUGGUAGCCCAAGCCUGGGAUGUUGACAUGCUCGUGAAGACGUCAUCAUCGCGAUUGUGUUUGAAGCGCACGCCAUUUGGUGUUCUUAAGUACCUGCUCGCUCCAGGAGUAGGCCUGCGGGCUCCCCAUUCGGCCCAUCUUUAAACAUGGACCAAGGAGUCUGACAAGUGUGCAAGUCAGUGGGCAAGUAAACCCGUAAGGCGAAUGAAGUUGAUUGGUGGGAUCCCCUUGUGGGUUGCACCGCCGAUCGACCCUGAUCUUCUAUGAUGGGUUCGAGUGAGAGCAUACCUAUCAGGACCCGAAAGAUGGUGAACUAUGCUUGAGCAGGGUGAAGCCAGAGGAAACUCUAGUGGAGUCCCACAGCGAUACUGACGUGCAUAUCAUUCGUCUAACUUGGGUAUAGGGGCGAAAGACUAAUCGAACCGUCUAGUAGUUGGUUCCCUCUGAAGUUUCCCUCAGGAUAGGUGGAGCCCAUGGGUGAGUUCUAUCAGGUAAAGCCAGUGAUUAGAGGCAUCAGGGGCCCAAUGACCUCGACCUAUUCUCAAACUUUAAAUAGGUAGGAUGGUGUGGCUUCUUUGUUGAGCCACGCCACAGAAUCAAGAGCUCCAAGUGGGCCAUUUUAGGUAAGCAGAACUGGCGAUGCGGGAUGAACUGGAAGCUGGGUUAUGGUGCCCCACUGCGCUAACCUAGACCCCACAAAGGGUGUUGGUCUAUUUAGAGAGUAGGACGGUGGUCGUGGAAGUCGAAAUCCGCUAAGGAGUGUGUAACAACUCACCUGUCGAAUCAACUAGCCACGAAAAUGGAUGGUGCUAAAGCGCACGACCUCUACCCAGUCGUCGGGGCAAGGGCCAAGCCUCGAUGAGUAGGAGGGAGCAGUAGUCGCUGCAAAACCUCGGGUGUGAGCCCGGGUGGAGCGGUCGUCGGUGUAGAUCUUGGUGGUAGUAGCAAAUACUCAAAUGAGAAAUUUGAAGGCCGAAGAGGGGAAAGGUUCCAUGUGAACGGCACUUGCACAUGGGUUAGUCGAUCCUAAGGGAUGGGGGAAGCCCAUCUGCUAGCACUCUAAGCGCACACUCUGAAAGGGAAUUGGGUUACAAUUCCUGAACUGGGACAUGGCGGUUGACGAUAACAUCAGAAAGUCUAGAGGCGUCGGCGGGGGGCCCGGAAAGAUUUAUCUUUUCUGUUUAACAGCUUGCCCACCCAGGAAACGGCUCAGCUGGAGGUAGGGUCCAGCGGUUGGAAGAGCACCGCACGUCGCGUGGUGUCUAGUGUGCCCUAGUCGGCCCGUGAAUAUCUAGAGGACCGAGUGCCUCCCAAGCCCGGUCGUACUCAUAACUACAUCAGGUCUCCAAGGUGAACAACCUCUAGUCGAUGGAACAACGUAAGCAAGGGAUGUCGACAAAACGGAUCCGUAACCUUGGGAAUAGGAUUGGCUCUGAGGGCUGGGAACGAGGGUCCCAGUCCCGAACCUGUCGGUGGACUGCUCGAGCUGUUCGUGCUGCGAGACUGGGUCGCCACAUGCCUGUCGGGGGAUGGAUUGGGAACGGGACCUUUGGGGCCUCUUUCCCAAGCAUCGCACAGUCGACUUAGAACUAGUACGGACAAGGGGAAUCUAGCUAUUUAAUUAAAACAAAGCAUUGCGAUGGUCCCUGCGGAUGUUGACGCAAUGUGAUUUCUGCCAGUUCUCUGAAUGUCAAAGUAAAGAAAUUCAACCAAGCGCGGGUAAACGGCUAGAGUAACUAUGACUCUCUUAAGGUAGUCAAAUGCCUCAUCAUCUAAUUAGUGACGUGCAUGAAUGGAUUAAUGAGAUUCGCAUUGUCCCUGUCUAUUAUCUAACGAAACCACAGCCAAGGGAACGAGCUUGGUAGAAUCAGUGGGGAAAGAAGACCAUGUUGAGCUUAACUCUAGUCCGACUUUGUGAAAUGACUUGAGAGGUGUAGGAUAAGUGGGAGCUAGAAACAACGGAAGUGAAAUACCACUAUGUUUAACGUUAUUUUACUUUUCCGUGAAUCAAAGGCAGGGCGCAACCCCUGUUGUUGGACCCAAGGUCGGCCUCGGUCGAUCGAUCCAAGCAUAAGACAUUGUCAGGUGGGGAGUUUGGUUGGGGUCGCACAUCUGUUAAAACAUAACGCAUUUGUCCUAAGAUGAGCUCAACUUCAAUAGAAAUUUCGUGUGGAACAAAAGGGUAAAAGCUCAUUUGAUUCUGAUUUCUAGUACAAAUACGAAUCGUGAAAGCGUGGCCUAUCGAUCCUUUAGUCCUUUAGAAUUUGAAGCUAGUGGUGUCAGAAAAGUCACCACAAGGUUAACUGGCAUGUGGUAGCCAAGCGUUCAUAGGAUGUUGCUUUUUUAUCCUUCGAUGUCGGCUCUUCCUAUCAUUGUGAAGCAGAAUUCACCAAGUGUUUGAUUGUUCACCCACCAAUAGGGAACGUGAGCUAGGUUUAGACCAUCGUGACACAUGUUAGUUUUACACUACUGAUGACAGUGUUGCAAUAGUAACUCAACCUAGUACGAGAGGAACUGUUGAUUCGCACACUUUGCGAUCGCGCUUGGUUGAAAAGUCAGUGGCGCGAAGCUGCCGCGCGUUGGAUUAUGACUGAGUGCCUCUAAGUGAGAAUCCAAGCUAGAAGCAAUGUGUGUGCCCGCCGCCAAAGGCACGUGCCGUUGGUGACCCCCAUGGGGUGGACGAGCCUCACGGGAUGCUUUGAAGCGAUAUUCCCUACUGGGUGGCGGGUAGAA
RNAcentral lists this ribosomal RNA (2980 nucleotides) under Lupinus angustifolius (narrow-leaved blue lupine). RNAcentral's name for it is "eukaryotic LSU rRNA". It matches the Rfam family "Eukaryotic large subunit ribosomal RNA", at positions 444 to 3401 of the family's 3401-position model. The record is from RNAcentral. Lineage: Eukaryota; Viridiplantae; Streptophyta; Magnoliopsida; Fabales; Fabaceae.